Molecule: transfer RNA, 95 nt
Filed under: Deltaproteobacteria bacterium
Lineage: Bacteria; Pseudomonadati; Myxococcota; Myxococcia
Also listed under: 1 other name
Description: tRNA-Sec
Rfam family: Selenocysteine transfer RNA
Source: RNAcentral
GGAGAAGGAAGGUGCCCGGUGGUGCCGCUGGUCUUCAAAACCAGUCUGGGGGUCGUAAGGCCCCCGGAGGGUUCGACUCCCUCCCUUCUCCGCCA